RNAcentral lists this ribosomal RNA (270 nucleotides) under uncultured prokaryote. Its description in RNAcentral is "partial 16S ribosomal RNA". It matches the Rfam family "Bacterial small subunit ribosomal RNA", at positions 506 to 776 of the family's 1533-position model. The record is from RNAcentral.
UGCCAGCGCCGCGGUAAUACGAAGGGGGCUAGCGUUGCUCGGAAUCACUGGGCGUAAAGGGCGCGUAGGCGGCGUUUUAAGUCGGGGGUGAAAGCCUGUGGCUCAACCACAGAAUGGCCUUCGAUACUGGGACGCUUGAGUAUGGUAGAGGUUGGUGGAACUGCGAGUGUAGAGGUGAAAUUCGUAGAUAUUCGCAAGAACACCGGUGGCGAAGGCGGCCAACUGGACCAUUACUGACGCUGAGGCGCGAAAGCGUGGGGAGCAAACAGG